GCCCCGGUAGCACAGCCAGGUAGUGCGACGGCCCGGUAAGCCGUAGGCCGCGGGUUCAAAUCCCGCCCGGGGCU
RNAcentral lists this transfer RNA (74 nucleotides) under archaeon. RNAcentral describes it as "tRNA-Thr". It matches the Rfam family "tRNA". Rfam says of the family: Transfer RNA (tRNA) molecules are approximately 80 nucleotides in length. Their secondary structure includes four short double-helical elements and three loops (D, anti-codon, and T loops). The record is from RNAcentral.